GUGCUCAAACUGGCAGCACAUAUACUAUAAUUAGAACAAUACAGAGAACAUUAGCAUGACCCUUGCAAAGGAUGGCAGAAAAAUUCAUUUAAUUUUU
This is a small nuclear RNA of Fukomys damarensis (Damara mole-rat), 97 nucleotides long. NCBI's taxonomy places the organism in Eukaryota, Metazoa, Chordata, Mammalia, Rodentia, Bathyergidae. The record is from Ensembl.